RNAcentral lists this transfer RNA (71 nucleotides) under Schistosoma mansoni. Lineage: Eukaryota; Metazoa; Platyhelminthes; Trematoda; Strigeidida; Schistosomatidae. The record is from RNAcentral.
AACGUUAAGCUAUUAACAUGAAGAUAUAUUAUGUAGUGUCCAUUUUUGAGAUAUAUAAAUAUCAUUGAUUU